AAAACCUGUCUCAGUUCGGAUUGGAGUCUGCAACCCGACUCCAUGAAGCUGGAUUCGCUAGUAAUCGCGCAUCAGCCACGGCGCGGUGAAUACGUUCCCGGGCCUUGUACACACCGCCCGUCAAGCCAUGGGAGCCGGGGGUGCCUGAAGCCGGUGACCAAACCAAUAAGGAAGGAGCCGUCGAAGGCAGGUCUGAUAACUGGGGUGAAGUCGUAACAAGGUAAC
Molecule: ribosomal RNA, 225 nt
Filed under: uncultured bacterium
Lineage: Bacteria
Description: partial 16S ribosomal RNA
Rfam family: Bacterial small subunit ribosomal RNA
Source: RNAcentral